RNAcentral lists this transfer RNA (75 nucleotides) under Candidatus Pacearchaeota archaeon. RNAcentral's name for it is "tRNA-Met". It matches the Rfam family "tRNA". From Rfam's summary of the family: Transfer RNA (tRNA) molecules are approximately 80 nucleotides in length. Their secondary structure includes four short double-helical elements and three loops (D, anti-codon, and T loops). The record is from RNAcentral. Lineage: Archaea; Nanobdellati.
AGCGGGGUAGAACAGCUUGGAGUGUUCGCCGGGCCCAUAACCCGGAGGUCAGAGGUUCAAAUCCUCUCCCCGCUA